RNAcentral lists this ribosomal RNA (460 nucleotides) under uncultured bacterium. RNAcentral describes it as "partial 16S ribosomal RNA". It matches the Rfam family "Bacterial small subunit ribosomal RNA", at positions 338 to 795 of the family's 1533-position model. The record is from RNAcentral.
CCUACGGGAGGCUGCAGUGAGGAAUAUUGGUCAAUGGACGCAAGUCUGAACCAGCCAUGCCGCGUGCAGGAAGACGGCUCUCUGAGUUGUAAACUGCUUUUGUACGAGGGUAAACGCAGAUACGAGUAUCUGUCUGAAAGUAUCGUACGAAUAAGAAGAGGCUAACUCCGUUCCAGCCGCCGAGGUACUACGGAGGAUACAAGCGUUAUUCGGAUUUAUUGGGUGUAAAGGGAACGCAGGCGGUCGGAUAAGUUAGAGGUGAAAUCCCGAGGCUCAACUUCGGAAUUGCAUCUGAUACUGGUCGGCUUGAGAGUAGUUGCGGGAGGUGGAAUGUAUGGUGUAGCGGUGAAAUGCUUAGAGAUCAGACAGAACACCGAUUGCGAAGGCAGCUUACUAAGCUACUUCUGACGUUGAGGUACGAAAGCGUGGGGAGCAAACAGGAUUAGAUACCCUGGUAGUC